CAAUAGCGUAUAUUAAAGUUGUUGCGGUUAAAAAGCUCGUAGUUGGAUUUCUGUCGGAGACGCGCGGUCCGCACUAUGUGCGUGUAUCUGUGUCGGCUCUGGCAUCCUCCUGGGGAACGGUGCUGCGCUUGAUUGCGUGGUCCGGUAUUCAGGACUUUUACUUUGAGGAAAUUAGAGUGUUUACGGCAGGCAAGCGCCUUGAAUAUAUUAGCAUGGAAUAAUAACAUAGGAUCUUCGUCCUAUUUUGUUGGUUUCUAGGGCUAAGAUAAUGAUUAAUAGGGAUAAUUGGGGGCAUCUGUAUCAACGCGUCAGAGGUGGAAUUCUUGGAUUGCGUUGCGACAAACUACUGCGAAAGCAUUUGCCAAGGAUGUUUUCAUUGA
Molecule: ribosomal RNA, 380 nt
Filed under: uncultured eukaryote
Lineage: Eukaryota
Description: partial 18S ribosomal RNA
Rfam family: Eukaryotic small subunit ribosomal RNA
Source: RNAcentral